UGACAUCCGGGGAAGGAGAGGAAGUGUGAGGCUGGCAUUCUUGGUAAGAUAAGACCUUGUAAAAAUACAUAUAUUCGUAUGUUUACUAGGAUUACAACAUUCUUCUAGCAUUAUAGGUUAAUGCUUAAGACAGAGUUAGCUCUAGAUAUUGGCCAGCGCCAUUGUAACUAAUAGAGUCUCUUUGUGAUAUUUGGGUGCUCUAAAGUGGCAACGGGACCUAGGCAGGAAUCCUGUUACAGCAGCAUCACUGGUUUCAUCUUCUGAGUCAGACUCAAUCUGGGAUGUGGAGCUGUGUGACGAAGAGUUCCUGGGGGAAGAGCAUUCUGGAGAACACAAAUAAUGCACCAGCGGGACGUCAUACCUCCCACAGAAGUCCACAGUCACAAUUUAUCUGGCAAAGCAGUCAAAAUACACUCUCCUAUAUUUGCGCUUCUGCAAUUGCUGGCUGCACCCAAGUAUCUUAACAGAUUCCCAGGAAGAUAAGAGAAUCCCAGGACUUGAGAAACAGAAGUUGUCAGGUGUCUGUGGUUUGCUGAUCACCCAACUGAAAUAACGAGGUGAAUUCCUUUUACUGAAAACAGUGACUCAGAAUUUGGUUCAUAGGCACAAUUGCACCAUGAGGAUAUCUAGAUGGAUCACAAUGAUAAUAUGGGAAAAAACAGAAGCCUCAGUGGAAGUGUGAAACUCAAUUGAUGAAUUGUCUCCAUCCUACUCUGCUGUCAUCAUAUUGUACUGUCCUGAAUUUGGUUGGUUAAAGUUUGAAGUCAGAAGCCCAUUGUGGGAAAUCUCACUCCUGGGGAAGUCUUCGAAGUUUCUAUAAGAAAUCAAGAUAAAUGAGCCAUGGUGAAUAAGCCAAUUGAAAAAAAUCAGGGUUGAUCAAGGAAAAUCCCCUGCAACACCCCUGAUGGUAGUGGAUGGUUCAAAUGAUUCAACAACUCAGAGAGCAUGUGUUUCAGUUUCCUCUGAGUUAUACAUGCAGAAUAACUUCAAGCUAGUGAGGAGAAGACUUAGAAACAGAAUUCGCGAAAACGCUUCCUGGUCAUUACCGACUUUGAAAAUCCACAUUAAAGCUAAAGACUUAAUGCAGUCCCUUCUCCCUCGACCCCUAAAAAGGACCCGGAACAGGAAGUGCGUCACAAUCCCAUUCUGGGGACGGACCAGGCUGCCUAGGAAACUACAGGAACCAAAGAUUCUCUUUGUUGGCGAUUUCCUUCAGAACAGCAAUCACAGUCGCACUUCCUGGCUGCAGCUGAAUAGCUUUGAGCGUUGGUUUAAUUCUUUAAAUGAAAGCUUCUCUUUAUUUGCGAUUUUACCCUAUCAGCAAACACAGUCGCACUUCCACGUUGGGGAGAGUAGCUUUGAGAACGAAAUUUCACUUUUUAAAAAAUCUCUUCAUUUGCGAUUUCCCCUGACUACCAGAGUCGCACAUCCAGGUUGCAGAAGAGUGACAUGAAAGCAGGAUUUCUUCGCUUAACUGAAGGUUUCUCUUUGUUUGCGAUUUUUACGGAGCAGCACACGCAGGUGGCAGGAGAGUGACACUAAACCUUCCACAGCACUUGUGUGAAAUUUGGCUGCAUUAAAUCAAUCAUGUGUGACAAACAUGUUCAAAGCAGUAACAAAUCACUCUUUAUGAGAUAAGGAAAGAUCUUUAGCAUCCAUCUUCAGCCUAUAUGCCCAGGACAUAUGGCACAUUUUUUUAUGAAGAAGGAACUUGAAGGAUCACCCUUUCCAUUGGCAACUUCAGCAGUCACUCUUCUUUGUAACCUGCCUGUCGAGUUUGGACAGCAUUGUGUCAAGCAUUCAAGGAAAGAAGUUUCUUGUACAAAUGGCUGGUCCUGCCAUGUGAAAGGUGACAUCACUCCAGGCUGAUUCUGACGGCUCCCCAAUGUCUACCAUUCUGCUAGAUUUUCAUGAAACACUUAAUUGAAAAUUGUGACCAACCACAGUUUUGGACUGCCAUUCAGAAUAAAUUCUACUCAAAAUCUAUACAGGGAACUGGACAUGACCAUGAUGAACAUAUAUAUGAAAUAUAAAUCCUUUGACAACAUUGCAACUCUUACAUGGACAUUCAAGAUGAAACCACUAAGAUUUCCAAACAUCUUCAAGCUCAACUUUCUUUUUUAAUCACCUUUGGUGAGUUUAAGUAUUUUUCUACACCCACUGCUGUUAUCCACGAAGAUCAUUAAGCAUUCUGUAUGCAGGAUUCCAGGCUUCAUCUUCUGAGUCAGAUGCCAUCUGAGAUGUGGAGCUGUGUGAGGCAGAGAUGCAAGGGGAAGAGCAUUCUGGAGAACACAAACAAUGCCUCGGGGAUGUGAUACUUCCAACAGAAAUCCACAGACUUAAUUUGUCUGAAAGAGCAGUCAAAAUACACUCCUCCAUACUUGGGGUUUGGGCAAUUGCUGGCUAAACACAAACAUCUAAGGAGCUUCCCAGGAAGAUCAUGGGGAGUGUAAGAAAUACUUCUGGAUCUUAAUGAUCCUUGCAGGUAUUGCCAGAAGAACUGGAGAGUCAAAUGUUAAAUCUUGACCAAAGGAAACAAAAAACAAUGUAUUUCAUAAAAAACAACUCUUCCUGAUGUGUAAGUCUGAGGAUCUCUAGAGGCAGACAUGUCAGCAAGUUAUUGAGGGAAUGCUCUGCAGCUGGUUUCCUCCCAGGUUCUGGUUGCCUCCCAUGUUAAGGGUCUACAGGGCUCCCAGCUCCAACAGCUAGGCAGGCCCUUAAUGGAAGCAGAUGGCUGUGAGGUAGCGAACCUGUAAUAUGUUAUGUAGUUGCACAUGGACAGGUCAUAGAGCAGCAUUCCUGGAUUUCAGAUCUCUAUGUCCAUCAGAAUGCUGGGGCUGCUCUGAUGGGACAGCUCCAAUCCCAGAGUCAUGUGCUCAUUCCUGGUCAAGUCCUGUAGCUGAAGGUUCAGAAAGACACUGCACAGCGCCCAGGCAGCAUGUCAGAAUGUUGUAGGCCAGCAGCAUCCACAGAAACAACAAACUUGAGCCCUGUUACCCCUCAGGCCUCCCUUCCACCUUCGACUCCUGCUCCCUUCCACCUCAGACUCCAGAGUGUAGGCUAACAUGCUGAGAAGGGAGCAGCUGAGUUCAGCUUCUCUGCAUGUGGCCUCACCCAUAGGCAGUAAUCCCAGGCUCUUCCAGUUGACACCAUGGAACGCUCUGCAACAGGAAGUGAGCUCUGUUUAGGACGUGGUGCCAGUUGGUGGGGGGAAGUAGCGUCGUGGGGGCGAGGAAAGACUACGUUCUGUAGCUAGCUGACCACUUUUCUGUAACAUUUAGGAUAAAUGUGAACUUCUAUCUUCUAUUGCAUUGAAAAUCGAUGUCGAGACAUUCUGUAAUAUAGAUCGAAUAUAGCUGAGAUCCUUGACAGAUGAUUAAUUCAUGUGUGAGAUGGAGUAUGUGGGAGAGCCCUUGUGCCUGUCAUUUUCCUCUGCAUGUUUUAGGAUCACAGACAGGAUUCCCACAGACACCUUUUUGGUUCCUCAGAUUUCAGUGCAGGAUACAGAAACGUUAAGUUGAAUCUUCAGAGGGAACCCAAAGCAUAGAUUCAGAAAUGUAACAGAGGAAAACUGGAGUUUUUCAAACUGUUUGUUGCAGUGUGUUCCUUGAGUUAUAGGAAAGUGAUUGUAUUUUAAAUAAAGUAAAAAUUUUCAUCACUUGGUAAUGGGUCAUUCAGUAACAGACUUAUACUGCAUGUGUGAAAUACUGUUUUUUCUCUCUCAAGUAAGCAUGGAAGUCAUUAAAAUUAUGUGGUAAGCAAGACCAGAACUUGAGAAGAAGAAAUUGUCAGACCUCUGAGUUUGCUGACAAUCUAGCUGAAAACAGUGUCUCACUUAAGUUCAGGAGUAGC
This 3852-nucleotide long non-coding RNA is filed under the name Cricetulus griseus (Chinese hamster). RNAcentral's name for it is "lncRNA (ENSCGRG00015034211.1)". Lineage: Eukaryota; Metazoa; Chordata; Mammalia; Rodentia; Cricetidae. The record is from RNAcentral.